AAAAAAUCCUAUUCAAAUCGAAACCCCUCUCUUUGAUCUCGUCGCCGAGGAAUUAGGAGGAGAGAGAGCAAUGGCCGCCGAGGAGGGAGUCGUGAUCGCCUGCCACAACAAGGACGAGUUCGACGCCCAGAUGACCAAGGCCAAGGAGGCCGGCAAAGUGGUCAUAAUUGACUUCACUGCUUCCUGGUGUGGCCCUUGCCGCUUCAUCGCCCCAGUGUUCGCUGAAUACGCCAAAAAGUUCCCUGGUGCUGUCUUCCUGAAGGUUGAUGUUGAUGAGCUGAAGGAAGUUGCUGAAAAGUACAAUGUCGAGGCAAUGCCGACCUUCCUAUUCAUCAAGGAUGGUGCUGAGGCUGACAAGGUCGUUGGCGCCAGGAAGGAUGACCUCCAGA
RNAcentral lists this unclassified non-coding RNA (389 nucleotides) under Hevea brasiliensis (rubber tree). The record is from RNAcentral. Lineage: Eukaryota; Viridiplantae; Streptophyta; Magnoliopsida; Malpighiales; Euphorbiaceae.